UAGUAACGGCGAGUGAAGCGGGAAGAGCUCAAGCUUAAAAUCUCCGUGCAAGUUUUGUGCGGCGAAUUGUAGUCUAUAGAAGCGUGGUCAGCAUGGGCACUUGGGGCAAGUUCCUUGGAAGAGGACAGCAUGGAGGGUGAUACUCCCGUUCAUUUCUGAGUUGCUCGUGCGUACGACCCGUUUUCUUUGAGUCGCGUUGUUUGGGAAUGCAGCGCAAAGUAGGUGGUAAAUUCCAUCUAAAGCUAAAUAUUGGUGCGAGACCGAUAGCGAACAAGUACCGUGAGGGAAAGAUGAAAAGAACUUUGAAAAGAGAGUUAAAGAGUACCUGAAACUGCUGAAAGGGAACCGAAUCGUUUCCAGUGUCUAUAAUCCGUGGUAUAUUUCAUUGGCGAGUGUGUGCGUGCGUGUGCUGUGGCAGCGGCUUUUUUGGCUGCGCUCGGCGUGUGUGCUGUGUGUGCUUGCUGGUGCUCUGUGCUGCGGUGGGACGUCAAGGUCAGUUCGUAUGCUGCGGGAAAUGGCUGCCGAGGAGGUAGGGCUUACGCUUGCGUUUGUCUGUUAUAUCUUGGUGGACGAGUAGUCGCGGUUGGGACUGAGGUGCCUACAACGUGCUUUUGAGUGGGUUUGUGUCUCCGUGUACGCCGUGUGCGGAUAGCUUGCUAUGCGUGUGUGGUUGUGUGUGGAUUGAUGCGAGCUUUAACUUGUUGCCGUUC
This 710-nucleotide ribosomal RNA is filed under the name Phytophthora nicotianae (black shank of tobacco agent). RNAcentral's name for it is "Phytophthora parasitica partial 28S ribosomal RNA". It matches the Rfam family "Eukaryotic large subunit ribosomal RNA", at positions 81 to 628 of the family's 3401-position model. The record is from RNAcentral. Lineage: Eukaryota; Oomycota; Peronosporomycetes; Peronosporales; Peronosporaceae.